UGGGGAAUAUUGGACAAUGGGCGCAAGCCUGAUCCAGCCAUGCCGCGUGUGUGAUGAAGGUCUUAGGAUUGUAAAGCACUUUCACCGGAGAAGAUAAUGACGGUAUCCGGAGAAGAAGCCCCGGCUAACUUCGUGCCAGCAGCCGCGGUAAUACGAAGGGGGCUAGCGUUGUUCGGAUUUACUGGGCGUAAAGCGCACGUAGGCGGACUAUUAAGUCAGGGGUGAAAUCCCGGGGCUCAACCCCGGAACUGCCUUUGAUACUGGUAGUCUUGAGUUCGAGAGAGGUGAGUGGAAUUCCGAGUGUAGAGGUGAAAUUCGUAGAUAUUCGGAGGAACACCAGUGGCGAAGGCGGCUCACUGGCUCGAUACUGACGCUGAGGUGCGAAAGCGUGGGGAGCAAACA
This 402-nucleotide ribosomal RNA is filed under the name uncultured Phyllobacterium sp. Its description in RNAcentral is "bacterial SSU rRNA". It matches the Rfam family "Bacterial small subunit ribosomal RNA", at positions 355 to 774 of the family's 1533-position model. The record is from RNAcentral. Lineage: Bacteria; Pseudomonadati; Pseudomonadota; Alphaproteobacteria; Hyphomicrobiales; Phyllobacteriaceae.